CGAGUUGACUAGCGUUAUUCUACC
This 24-nucleotide microRNA is filed under the name Ananas comosus (pineapple). RNAcentral describes it as "microRNA s1110_c138a". The record is from RNAcentral. Lineage: Eukaryota; Viridiplantae; Streptophyta; Magnoliopsida; Poales; Bromeliaceae.